GAUGAACGCUAGCUACAGGCUUAACACAUGCAAGUCGAGGGGAAACGACAUCGAAAGCUUGCUUUUGAUGGGCGUCGACCGGCGCACGGGUGAGUAACGCGUAUCCAACCUGCCCAUCACUUGGGAAUAACCUUGCGAAAGUAAGACUAAUACCCAAUGACAUCCCACGAAGACAUCUGAAUGGGAUUAAAGAUUUAUCGGUGAUGGAUGGGGAUGCGUCUGAUUAGCUUGUUGGCGGGGUAACGGCCCACCAAGGCAACGAUCAGUAGGGGUUCUGAGAGGAAGGUCCCCCACAUUGGAACUGAGACACGGUACAAACUCCUACGGGAGGCAGCAGUGAGGAAUAUUGGUCAAUGGGCGAGAGCCUGAACCAGCCAAGUAGCGUGCAGGAUGACGGCCCUAUGGGUUGUAAACUGCUUUUAUAAGGGAAUAAAGUGGGUCUCGUGAGACUUUUUGCAUGUACCUUAUGAAUAAGGACCGGCUAAUUCCGUG
RNAcentral lists this ribosomal RNA (492 nucleotides) under uncultured bacterium. Its description in RNAcentral is "partial 16S ribosomal RNA". It matches the Rfam family "Bacterial small subunit ribosomal RNA", at positions 28 to 507 of the family's 1533-position model. The record is from RNAcentral.